Molecule: transfer RNA, 75 nt
Filed under: Ignavibacteriaceae bacterium
Lineage: Bacteria; Pseudomonadati; Ignavibacteriota; Ignavibacteria; Ignavibacteriales; Ignavibacteriaceae
Description: tRNA-Gly
Rfam family: tRNA
About the family: Transfer RNA (tRNA) molecules are approximately 80 nucleotides in length. Their secondary structure includes four short double-helical elements and three loops (D, anti-codon, and T loops). Further hydrogen bonds mediate the characteristic L-shaped molecular structure. tRNAs have two regions of fundamental functional importance: the anti-codon, which is responsible for specific mRNA codon recognition, and the 3' end, to which the tRNAs corresponding amino acid is attached (by aminoacyl-tRNA synthetases). tRNAs cope with the degeneracy of the genetic code in two manners: having more than one tRNA (with a specific anti-codon) for a particular amino acid; and 'wobble' base-pairing, i.e. permitting non-standard base-pairing at the 3rd anti-codon position.
Source: RNAcentral
GCAGCAUUCGCCUAAUUGGUAUGGCACCAUCCUUCCAAGCUGGAAUAGUACCGGUUCGAACCCGGUAUGCUGCAC